AAACUUUCAAAUUAUCAACCCUCGUUUUUAAUGCCUUAACAUGAGCUCUCAAGGAAAUAAUAUUUGCAUUAUUAGAGGAUACUGCAUGUGUGGCUUCAUUGUAUUCCUUGCCCAGUUUCUAGACAUUGUAGCACAUGAAACAAAGUGUUGUAAAGCCGCUUCAGGAGUAAGAGCAGUGACAUCUCGAUUUUCUAGUUGAUGAACUAGCAUUGAUGUUGUUCGAUCUAAGGAUCUGCUGACCAUAUCUGCCAGCUGACUGUCUGUGUAACCAUGGUGAGAGCAAUCAGAUAACAACUCUUGAAAUCUGUUCCCAGGUCAUGUAAACUCUGUCCUUCUCUCUGAUGAAUUCGAGAGAUUGAUUCUUUGAUAGCUACAGUCUUUGCUGGAGGAUAGUUCUCUUCUACAAAAGCUUGAGCUAGAGUGUCCCAAUCUCUGAAUGUGCUUCCACGUUAACUAGUCAACUAUCUUCUUGCCUCUAAACCUCGUAUAGAUUCAUCAAUCUCUUCUUCUUCUUCAAAUGAGUGCGAGUCCUGAUGAGAGUUUUGAUAUGUCUGGAAUCUUGUCUGUAUAGGUGACAUGCAAUGAAAUCUCACCUGCACAAUGAAAAAAAACGUAAAAAGUAACCGUGAAAGCAAAAUUUAAAGCGGGAAUGAAUGACUAAUACUAAUUGAACUACUUUUAGAUGCUACAAAGAAUUCUCCGGAAACGGCACCAAUUUGGUAAACAUUUUUAGGCGUUAUAACAAAAAUCUGAUUAAUAAAUUAACCGGAGUCGAAUCUCCAUAUGGUCUCUUUAAGUAUCUUACUCAAAGUUGUAAUUAGUACUAAUUGAAAUAUCAAGUAAUGUGGUUUAGGUGCCACAAAAACUAAUCGAACAAUCAAAAUGAAAAAGAAAAUUGAUAUAAAGGAAAUGGCUGUAAGACUGCAUAGGGUUUUAACAAUUAUGGAUUAAACUGCUUAUAGUUUGAAUCCCCCUAGGAAAUUCUAAUACAAAAAUGACAAAAAAAUUCCACAACACGAGACAUGAUAAAUUCAAUAUACUAUCGCAAUUCUUCUCUAAUCAAACUACGCCCUUUCGGGAUUGCUAAUUUGCUACCUAUCUAGUAUCCUAGUCUUCUCUUUCGAGAUUAAGAUCUGAAACCCGCUAGGCGAUUAACUGAUUAAGAAUUGCUCAAACGACAUACUAGUUCAUUCGCUCUCGGAUGAGGGUUAACGUUUAACCUAGUUGUUUGAUUUCACCGUUCUAGAUAUGCAAGCUCUCACGAGUCUAAGAAAAAUACAACAUAGAUUCAUUCUAAGUUGAUUAGGCAAGAAAUCGAAAAAGAAAUCAAACAUAUAUUGAAAUCCAUCCAACUCGCAUAAAUCGUCAAACGUAUCAAAUCAUUCGUUCAUAAGAACUAAACUAGGCUUCAUCUAAUAUAUGCAAGAGAAGUUUAGGUGCUCAUGAUUUCGAAUGACAAAUCAAAAUCAGAAGAAGAAGUCAUUGAAUCUAGGUAUACACAUGAAACUAUGAAAAACCUAAUUUCGUCGAUCUUCUAGAGAACUUGAUUCCCCAUCUUAAACCUUGCGCCGAUUCCAAGCUCCUUUAAGUUACCUUUUAGUUGCUCUCGAAUCUCUCACUAAUUCUCUCAAUUUCAUCCAAGGAAGUGCUUCUUCAAACAAGGGAGGACCGAGCUUUAAAUAGAUGUUCCCACAAAUCCUUCAAAUUUCGGAUUGUCAAUAUUGCCACUAUGGUUAUAUGUCAAUAUUGCCGCUAUGUUCAUAACGAUAAGUUUGGCCAUCUAUAGCGGCAAUAUUUCCAAAGUUUUCAGGAGGGGGUGUCAAUAUUGACGCUAUGGUUAUGUCAAAAGUUCUGAUAUGGUCAUAGCGCCAAGUUUGACAUUCCACAGUGGCAAUAUUGACAACGUGCAGCCCUUUGUAAUUUCUUCACUUCUCAACCCGUCUAUCUCGUCCCUGCAUGCCCGUACCGCUUCGAAUAGUGACCCAACAUCGUGAUGGACAUGAAAUCUUACAAAAACACUCCAAAACGACAUCAAAAGGACCCCGAACGGGUUUGGGACACGCAAUUGAGAUAGAAGCUAGAAAUGUGCAACACACCUAAACUUCUAGCCAAAACUAUACAUAUAUGCAUGGAAUGUCACUUAAAUAAGGGUGGUGAAUACGAAAAAUCGAGUGUCAUCACCGACUGAAAGAUCUCAACUGACAUGUUGAUAUCAUCAUCAGGGACAGUCAAUACGUACUGCAUUCUUGUUCCCUUAACCAUGGUGUAUCCCAAUGGGUUUUCCUGGUAAUGUUUUUAACAAGACAGUAUCAAUAGCAUACUCGAAGAACAUAAUACAUAUUCUUAUCCAAUGGUUUUCAAGGGGUAAGUGUUAUGAAUAUUGUUAUUAUGGUGCAUGAAUGUGCAUUGUGUAACCUAUACAUUAAUCAUGGGAAUCAAUACCAUUAUUUCCUAUUCAAGUGUAGUUUUGUUAGUCAUUAGGAGUUAUGUAUCAUGAGCCUAUAAAUAGUGCUCACACUUGUAUAUUUAAUACACCUCAAUAAGAUACACUUUCAUUUCUCAUAUUCUUGUCUUCUUCUUCAUUCUUAGUUUUUAUAACAUUAUUAAAACAUCACUAAUGAUAUUUUUUAUUAAAAUCUAUUAAUAAAAGAUAGACUAUUUAAUGCCUUACUAGAAAAAUUGUAUGUACAAUUAACUUUUUUUAACUAGGUCAGGAUUUUCUCAACAACUACGUUUACCUUAUUGCUAAUAAAUACCUCUGAGUUAUUAAUAACUACCUCUAUGUGUUUAAUAAUUAUAUCAACUUCAAAGUUGUUAAUACUAUUUUAAAAUUGGUAAUACUCGUCUAUGAGUUUAUAAUACUUAUGAAGUCUAGUUUUGAGGCAGUCAACUCAUGUAUUUGACAUCGAAAAAGAUAAUUCAUCAAAAAUAUCAAGAUUGCUAGUUUUAAUCGUCAUUGAAAAACUGAGAUGUCGACAUAAAUAUUUAACAAAAACUGGUUUAGCCCAAUGGUUAGGCUUAUGGAUUGGCAUUCCAGAGGUCUAGGCAUCAAUAUCCGCCUUUCAUAUUAUGCUUAUAAAAAAUUUUUCCUCUCAUGUUCUUAUUCUCUUCUUUGUUCUUAAUUUUAUAAUAUAUAUAUAUAUAUAUAUAUAAUUGUUAAAACUAUUAAGACAACAAAACUGCCACUUCAGCUUUCUCUCAAUCUACAUGUGUCCACGUCAAACCUGUAAAACGCUACCAUUUAAUCUUAAUUUCAGCCCACUUUUUAAUCUACCCAUUUAAAACAUAAAAAUCCAAAAUUAAGUUAACAGCAAAAAAAAUCUAGCGAAAGGGCCAAAAAAUAAAAUGUUACCUUGUUUCUAACCCACGAUG
Molecule: long non-coding RNA, 3372 nt
Filed under: Linum usitatissimum (flax)
Lineage: Eukaryota; Viridiplantae; Streptophyta; Magnoliopsida; Malpighiales; Linaceae
Description: long non-coding RNA (LUSI_LNC003892)
Source: RNAcentral